AGAACGAACGCUGGCGGCAUGCCUAAUACAUGCAAGUCGAACGAACACUUCGGAGUUAGUGGCGCACGGGUGCGUAACGCGUGGGAAUCUGCCCUUGGGUUCGGAAUAACAGUUGGAGACGACUGCUAAUACCGGAUGAUGACGAAAGUCCAAAGAUUUAUCGCCCAGGGAUGAGCCCGCGUAGGAUUAGCUAGUUGGUGAGGUAAAGGCUCACCAAGGCGACGAUCCUUAGCUGGUCUGAGAGGAUGAUCAGCCACACUGGGACUGAGACACGGCCCAGACUCCGUACGGGAGGCAGCAGUAGGGAAUAGUUGGAACAAGUGGGACGAAAGCCUAGAUCCAGCAAUGCCGCGUGAGUGAUGAAGGUCGUUAGGGUCGUAAAGUCUUCUUUACCGAGUA
This 399-nucleotide ribosomal RNA is filed under the name uncultured soil bacterium. Its description in RNAcentral is "bacterial SSU rRNA". It matches the Rfam family "Bacterial small subunit ribosomal RNA", at positions 26 to 446 of the family's 1533-position model. The record is from RNAcentral.